GGUUGUAGUUAAAUGAAUUAUAUAGAUUGUGAUACAGGUACAAAUAAAUAAAAGGUAAAAUUAGGAUGUUAUUUUGUAUGGAAACUCAAUUAUAAUUGAAGCUAAGAAAAAUUAGUAAUAAACUAGGAUUAGAUACCCUACUAUUCUAAAGUAGUUAAAUUAAAACUGAAUUAGUAAAAGUUAGAUACUUAAAAUUUAAAAAAUUUGGCGGCAAUUUAAUCUUUUCAGAGGAACCUGUUUUAGAAUCGAUAAGCCACGAAAAAUCUUACUUGGCUUUGUUAUAAACAGUUUGUAUACCAUCAUUAUCAGAUGAUUCUUAGAGGAAAAAAUUGUUGGGUAUGGUUGUCUAAAUAAAUUAGAUCAUGGUGCAGCUUAUAGUCAAGGUAAAAUGGGUUACAAUAAAUUAUUUUAUUGCGGAUUAGACAAAAUAAUUUUGUUAUGAAGAAGGAUUUGAUUGUAUCAAAAGUUUAAUAAGCUAAUGAGAUAUAAGUUAUAAAUUGUGUACAUAUCGCCCGUCGCUUUCAUUUAUAAGU
This 533-nucleotide ribosomal RNA is filed under the name Pseudohelice subquadrata. RNAcentral's name for it is "partial 12S ribosomal RNA". The record is from RNAcentral. Lineage: Eukaryota; Metazoa; Arthropoda; Malacostraca; Decapoda; Varunidae.